UGGACAUAGAUGCUUUACCCAAAUCAUACUAAUUAAUUAUCCUUAGACCAAAUUUAGCUCAACUUGUAAAGAUCUUACUGUUGUAGGAAAAUACGGAUGUAAAUGUGGAUUCCUUGUGUGAAAAUUUUUUGUGGAUUGUCUGGGAUUAAUAGGAUAAAAUUGGGUGAAAGUUUUAAAUUGGAGGUCGAUUUGCUUGAAUAGGUGUGUGAUAAGGGGCAGUGCACUAAUCAAGGCAUAUGUUUUGAAAUUUAAAAUUUUUCUAAGGGGCUUUUAUAACUCGAGCAAUUAAGCAUACAAGGGUAUCUUAAAACCUGGUGCCCCAAAGUCAUCUGACUUGGGAAUCAUUGGCUUAAAGCUCAUUACAAGGGUCGUUUAAAAAGCAAUCAGAGAUGAAAUUCCCUAAAUAAAUAAAAAAAAUUGUUUUCUUCGGAGCCUUUUUUACUCGGGUUAUUAAGCCUGUAAGGGUAUUUAAAAAUCUGGUGCCCUAAAGUCAUCUGAUUUGGGAGUCAUCGGCCUAAAGCCUGCUACAUGAGUCAUCUAGAAAGCUUAAGGGAGACUGCCAAAAAAAUACUAAAAACUAAAAAGAAAAAAAAAAGUACUAAAUGCCUUGUAAGUCCCAACACUUGUUUGAGGGAACUUGACCUUCGAUAAAUGAUAAUUAAACUAAUUGAAUCUUGACAGUCGAAGCAAUCAAAUAAUUUGAGAAUCCUUAUUCAUUGAUGUGUUAACUUGCAAUUAGUGACAUCCACCUGAAUUGGAGAGGUGAGGAUAGUGAUAAAAAUUCAAUCUUAGAUCACACACUGGAAAAAGAGUGUGAAAAUGAAUAUGUGGGGGUGUGUAAAUCUUAC
This 848-nucleotide long non-coding RNA is filed under the name Olea europaea subsp. europaea. The record is from RNAcentral. Lineage: Eukaryota; Viridiplantae; Streptophyta; Magnoliopsida; Lamiales; Oleaceae.